AACGAACGCUGGCGGCAUGCCUAACACAUGCAAGUCGAACGAGACCUUCGGGUCUAGUGGCGCACGGGUGCGUAACGCGUGGGAACCUGCCCUUAGGUUCGGAAUAACUCCCCGAAAGGGGUGCUAAUACCGGAUAAUGUCUUCGGACCAAAGAUUUAUCGCCUUUGGAUGGGCCCGCGUUUGAUUAGCUAGUUGGUAGGGUAAAAGCCUACCAAGGCGACGAUCCAUAGCUGGUCUGAGAGGAUGAUCAGCCACACUGGGACUGAGACACGGCCCAGACUCCUACGGGAGGGAGCAGUGGGGAAUAUUGGACAAGGGGGGAAAGCCUGAUAAAGCAAGGCCGGGGGAGGGAGGAAGGCCUUAGGGUGGUAAAGCUCUUUUACCCGGGAUGAUAAUGACAGUACCGGGAGAAGAAGCUCCGGCUAACUCCGUG
Molecule: ribosomal RNA, 433 nt
Filed under: uncultured bacterium
Lineage: Bacteria
Description: partial 16S ribosomal RNA
Rfam family: Bacterial small subunit ribosomal RNA
Source: RNAcentral